AUCCCACUCCAAUCCACCCACAUCUCCCUCUCCAUUUCUUUCACAAGAAUAAGAUCUUAUUGUUGGAGCGAAUAGUGCUAGGCUACGCUACCGGAGCCUCUUCCUCCGACUCCAUCCGAACACCUUGGGGGCAUGAUGUGGCGGUUCGACGUCUGUAGACAUUAGAUCUCUAAAUCUCCCAACUCUCUAAUAUCAAAAAUGUUUUUAUCUCUAUUGGAAGAAAACUGGUCGCCCAUGUGGGUUGACCCGACCCGGUUUACAUAGAAAUGGGUUUUGGAGAGAGGAGUUGAAAAUUGAAUUUAAAAGUUAACCUCCCCACCUCCAAAAACUCCCAUCAACUUCCAUUAAUCUUUUUUUUCCCCGAAAGCAAAAACUAAGAAUAUUCGGGUUAAAGGGAGUGGAAGAAAAAUACAUAAAGAAAAAGACUUAAUUUUUGGAAGAUAAUAUCUCAAAUUGGGUUAUUGGUUUGUGGCUAUCAAAUACCUUCCUUUGUGAUCGAGUUUCUAACCAGAAGAGGAGUACUUGGGGAGCAAGCAAGAGGUAAGAAGGCAAAUAAUUCAACCUCUCGUUUUCUUGGGAUUUCAAGUAUGUUUUAAUGUUCCAAACUCGGUUAUGAGUAUGCAAGAGUGUUUUACAUUGAUAUCAGAGCCUAAGUCGUUAAUGGCAACUUUUCAUGUAAUUCAUAUUAAUUCAUGAAAUAUAUACUGUAUGUUUAUGAUAUUAUGGAGAACGUAUCUGAAAAAUUUCAUGUUAUUUGGCUUUGUAUUUGGGGAGGAAAAUUGAACCCUAGUUGAGAAAAUUGAAAUUUCAUCGCAUGAUAAUUUCUUGCACGUUAAGUUUCACAUAAACCAUUUAAUAUGAUUGGAUAGAUCUUCUUGAGAUCUUUCUAACGAUAUAAAGAACAUAAAUUUUGGUCUUAAAUUGAAGAAGUUAUGGCCUUCCGAAAUUUCAGCAGAAAUCUGAAAAAAAAAUUGUUUUUUUCGGACGAUGAACAGUAACCGGGAAAAAAAAAGGAACUGAAACUGUUGCUGUGGAGUGAGAUUCAUAUUUUGAAAAUUCAUGUAGGUCCCUCAAUUAUUGUAGAUGCGAUUUGAGAAAUUUCAUGUUAGUCCCCAUACUUUUAAAUGUUUCCAAAUGCAAUUGGAAAAAUUGCAUGGUAGUCCCCACACUUUUUGAAUGUUAAUUAUUUCAAAUGCAAUUUGAGAAAUUGCAAGUUAGUCCCACACUUUUGAAUAUUUUCAAAUACAGUUUGAAAAAUUGCAUGUUGGUCCCCAACUUUUUUGAAUGUUGAUUAUUCCAAAUACAAUUUGAGAAAUUGCAUGUUAGUUACCACACUUUUAAACGUUUUCAAAUGCAAUUUGAAAAUUUGUAUUUUGGUCCCAAAACUAUUUUUGGAUGUUGUUUAUUCCAAUACCAAUUUGAAAAGUUGUACAUUGGUCCCAAAAUUAUUUUCUUUCGAAAAUUGAUUGUUCGAUAUUCAAUUUAAAAGAUUAUAAAUUGGUCAUGCAUAUGAGGAUGCAUGCGAGACCCGACUUCAAUUCUGAAAAUUACAAAAUUGGUCCUUCAAAUAUUCUUGAUUUUUGUGUUCAAUUAAAAUUAAUUUUUAGAUGAUCAAAAAUAUUUUUUUUGGACUCAAUUAAAUUCUGAAAUUAUUUUAUAAAGGUCAAGAAUAUUUCUUAAGUGGUAUUUGUCCGAUGAGAGUUAUUUUUUUUAAGCAUUUCAUUUUUUUUGAAAUGAAAAAUACUCCGAAUUUAUUAAAAAUACCACAUUUUAUAUACGUUCAUGAGUUGUAUGGGUCUUGAUUAGAUUAUGUGAUCCAUUGUGACUUGUUUCGAAUUUUGUGUAUAUAUUAUUACAUCUAUGCAUAUUUAUCACAUCCUUAGAGGGAAUGCUAGAGAAACAAAGGUUAUAGAACUUGUUAAAAAGCUAUGUGCUUAUUAUAAUUAAAAAAAUACAUGGAUCUGAAACAUAACCUAGUGGAAUACGUGAAUAUUUUUGGAGACUUUUUUUUGGUGAUAAGUAGAAUAUGAAAAUUCCGAUAUCACUUUCCAUCUGUUGGGAUUGUGUUGCAACAAAUAUUAAAGCGUGGUUAAUAAUCAUGAUAUGUCAUAAUUACACAUUAUGAAAUUACAUUAUUAGAUAAAUGUGCAUAUUUAUGAAAUGUAUGAUAUCCAUUAACUCGUGUAUUGUUAUAAAUGCUAAGGUCCGUAGAAUUAAUGAGAUUUUUACUUAGACCUAUUAAUUGUCAGUUGAGUGAUAAUUCGAUAAUUGGAAGAUUUAGAGAAAACUCACCAAGAACUAUUUGAUUCACCAACUGAGUGGGGGUUCUAAAGUUGGAAGAAUUAAUGCAAUUCUCACUUAGAACCCAUGGAAUUUUGCAUUAUUAAAUUAAGUUUAUAAUAGUGAAACAAUAGGAUUGCGGACGAUGAUUGAGAAUAUAGUGAACUUUCGACUCUAUACCUAACGUUGAACUAUCGUAGAUGUUAUUUUGCGUUAAUGUAAAAUUAAAUAUGUGCAUAAAUAGGCAUUGAUUAAGAAUAACAUGUCUCUAAAAAUCUAAUAGAUCAUGACAUCAAAAUAUAUAGAAGUUAACCUUAAUAAAGGUGAUAAAUUAAAUGCGAUAAUAUUUGACAUGAUAAGAUUUUAAAUGUACUAGAAGGACAUGAUACUUUAGAGAACACCAAUCACGUAAUAGAAGAUCUUAUGUAGGUCAUACUACUCUAGAGAAUAAAGAUCAGAACUUUGUCGAGUAUGAAAAAAUAUGGAUUUUAGUACUCGAGCAUUUAAAAUUGUUAAGUUCUGUUAUAAAUAAUUUUUUUCUCAAAUAUGACUUAGUUGGUGGUUAUCAUAGUGUUAAUAUUUUCUUUGGUCACAUUAAUUUUAGAUAAGUAGUAAGUUCAAACUAAUCUCUUCUUAAUAUAUGGAAUUUUGAAAGUCAUUGUGACUUACAAAUAGUAGUGUCAAUUUUUUUAGUGACACUACCCGCUAUAUGAGUUAAAAGAUAUGCGACUUGAUAUUGCUAAGUCUCAAGGACAUGGUUGUGUAGCAAUGUUCUAGCUUGCAUAAGACUUUGAAUUUUAAGCAUUGAAUGAGCUAGAACAAAUGCGGGAUGAAUGUGGGAGACUGGUAAAGGGACCAAGAAGAACUUCAGAUAGUAGUGAAUGAAAGUGGUUUUGAUAGAGGAUCAAUGUUAUAAAAGUUCAACUGCUUCAACUAUAUGGUUUGAAUCUCUUAGCUCAAAAUGGUUAAGCUUAAGGAUAUUGUACUUGAACAUAUUACUCUUAGUGUUGUUUACAUAUCAACACUAUACCAACUGGAUCUUGUCUUGUGUAGAUAAUGGAUUCAAGGGUUAGAACCCACUUCAUAUGAGAUCAAUAAGUAUACUAGUCUAUUGUCGAAUAUUUGACUUAAUACAAAAUAGAUAUGUACAAAUAGUGAAGAUGAAGUGGAGAUUUAUAUGACUGGUAUUGCAACUUAAUGUUGCAAAGUGGAGAAAUUGAUCUUCUACUUGAUAUUGAGAUAGUAUCAAAAACUCCACUAAAUUUGAUCUCAAUUAUUGUUCUUCUAAGAAGGGUCUCUUACUUGAACUUGUACGUGGUAGUUCUGUUCGUACUCACAGUGGUGAUGUUUAUUGUGGUUCUGGAUAUACAAUGGUUUGAGAUUUUGAGUUGAGAAAACCAUUAAAACUGUAAGAGUUGAACUUCCAUAGAAUAAAUUCAUCCAACUUUCUUUGUAGGCCGUGAUCAAGAGAGAUAGAAAUGGAACUUUACUUUUCAUUACAUUUAUAGAUGGAUUCAUGCACUUUAGUUGUGAGACCGAUUUUCUUAAGUUGAAGAUAUUGUAUUGAUUUAACUUUUAUAAAGUCGAGUAGAAAAUCAAAUUAUGGAAGUGAAGAUUUUAAGAACUGUUUGAUAGCGUGAAUCUCUAUCACGAGAUAUCAUGAUCUAUGUAAUAAGAGGAAUUCUUAUUGGAUUGACUAUUCUUUAAUGUCCAAUAAUUAUAUGGUGUAUUGGAUUGAAAGAAUGAAAUAUUGCUGAAUAUGAUGACUGAUGAGGUUCAAGAUAGAUAGUACAACUUACGUAUUUGCUUUUGGAAAGAGCGUUGGCUAACUAUAACAUAUCAAUUAAUGGAGUUCUCUCAAUGUUGGUACCUUCAAAAUAGAUAAGUUUUGGACACGUAAAUAACCGAAUAUGAGUUAUUAUAGACUCUCAAUGGACUAUAUACGUUCUCGGUAACAAGUAUGGAAACAUGAGUCUAUUGAGAACUAGAUGUGUCUCAAUGACAUACAUGUAAUCCAAAAAUGUACUUAAGUGAAAUUUUGGAUGGAUAUCGAGUCAAAAGAAGUGACUUUUGACAUAUUUUUCAGUAAGAGAGAAAAGAUUGGAGAAUAUCGUUGAAAUUGAUAUUAUAUGUAUUGAUGAAUCAGUUUUGAAUAUAUAAGUGAAUAUUCAAACUUCUUAUUCAAGCGGGAGUAAUUUGUUUCUGAGUCGGACCUAUCUAUCCGAGUGGGAGCCAUCUAAGAACUAUCUAAUUUCAAUGAUACUUGGUUUCGAGUGGGAGUUAAGAAUCAUUUAAUAUCAAUGAUUGUUAGUUCUGAUGGGAGCUAUCUAUCUGAGUGGGAGCCAUCCAAGAACUAUCUAAUUUAAUGAUUCUUGGUUUCGAGUUGGAUCUAAGAACUAUGUAAUGCCAAUGAUUCUUGGUUCAAAAAAUCAGAAGAUGAAUUUUGAGGAAAGUGAUGGAAGUAUAUAUAUGGAGUAUAGAAUUUCGACCUAAUCUAAGAUAUGGUGAAAGUUCUGUUCAAACAUUAUGUUUAUUGAGAACAUUCAGGCUCUUGAAAGUUAAAUGGAAGACUAAUGAAUUUCUAAUAGAUAAAACUCAUUUUUUUUAAAAAGGUUAUACUCAAUGUAAGUGUAUUGAGUUGUAUAAUUUUUUUCAUAACAAAAGGAUUCACUUCUGUACAUCAAUGCUAGCCGUGAUGGUAUGUUUAAAUUUAGAGUACACCAAAUCGACCUAGAGACUAUAUUUUUAUUCUCAAUUGAGAAAUGAUUAAAGAUAUCAACAUGAAUCGACUUUUAGAUUUUAUAUUAAAGGUUUUUUUUUUGUUUAGUGGUAACUUUACAGUUACACACAUGACCAAAUACAGUCAUCUCGACAAUCGUACUUAAAUUUUUAACAGGGUUAAAUCUCGUACAAGAAUUUCGUCAUAUGGACAAAAAUUACUGUAUUUGUAUAAAAGGUCUGAUGGUAGGUUGUAAGUCUAAUAUUGAUAUUGAUGACAUUGGAUUGGCUAAGCAUGAUAAGGAGUGUAUAGAGACCAUUUUGAAAUGAUUGUCGUCAAUUUUUGAGACAAAAGACAUAGAUUUAACAAAUUGUAUGAUUUAUGCUAAGAAUACUUUUCGUAUGUUCUUACUCUAUCAUAAGAGUUUUAUACUAUAAAUGGUCAUGUGGAAUUGCAACUGUGACCAUAUAAGUCUUCAUAAAUGUCUAAAGAUUUCAUAAGCGCACAAAAAAAUAUCCAGAGAACCAUAUCUAGUACGAUUAAGAGUUAGGAGAUAGAAGUAUACUAUGAUAUAUACUGUUGCUAAUAAUAGUCAUGCCAUGGAUCUAAUCAGUAGGUAUCAAUAUUAUCUUUAGAAAAUGUAUUGUGAUAUCUGAAGGGUGCUGCUGUCAGUUAUUCUAUCUCGUUGUCAAACGAAUAACUUGUGAUUGGAAUAGAUAUACAAUUGUUGACUAAGAAUGAGAGUUAGUCGAGCAUAAUUAGUUAUUUGACUUGUGCGCUUUUGCUAUAUAGAGUAGCAAGAAGCAUAUAUUGUAAUGUAUAUCUUGGCAGCUAAAGAAAUUGUUUGGUAUGAUUGUAUUGAGCAUCUAAUGAUACUGGUUAAGAAUAUGAGAUCCAUGACAGUUACGCAACUAUCUUAUAUGUUAACAUCUCAAAUAUCAAGAUGGAACCAAACAAUUAAUAGUAUUUCUGUGAGAGACAUUAGCAAAGAAAGUGUCUUUGUGAUAUAUUUACAUAAAUGAUGAUAUGUAAUCAUUAUACUCUGAAAAUGUCUAGAGAUAUCUUUUUUGAUAAUAUGGAAUCUCUAGACUUUCGUAGAAUAUGAUACUUGGUAUAUCAGACAAACUCUUGAUUGAGUUUUAUGUGCCCAUAGAUGAACAAUUUUGAGUUCAUUUGUAAUCUAAUGUUGGGAUUAUAAGAUAAAUGAUUUGUAUGCACAUAUAAAGUAUGUCGAAUGGGUUGAGAUUGGCCCACUCACAUGGGCAAUCGCCUCAUACGUUUUGAGAUGUGCUGAGAUGAGACAAAAUGAUCGUGUUAUGUACAUGAUCCUGUGACCUUAAUAGUGAUCAUAUUGUGUACAUGAUCCAGUCUCCUUAUUAAGGUAUCAAGAUGAGAUUACAACAAGUAAUCGAAAUAUAUUUUUCUAUCCAUUAAACCCGUUUAAUAGCUAGAUCGAGUUCUCGAUUUGAGAAUACUUGGAGGAAUGAAUAUAAGGAUAACUCAAGUUAGAUAUGAUGAAUAUUUGAACUAUGAUUUGUACGAUGUAUUUAAUUUGCAAGAUUAGACAUAUGCCCUAAGAAAGGGAGAAAACAUCGUAACAUGUGUUUCGUACCAUGUGUGCUUUAAUGACCAAUGAAAAAUGAAAGAAUUGAUCCCUGCAUCUUCAUUGUGUGAGUCUCUGAGGUACAUUUGACCUCAUUUAUAAUUUCUCAAAAUUUUAUUUUUGUGUUGCUACUUUAGCAUGUUACCAAUAACUAUGAUUGAUUCGGUUUGAUAAGACAUGUCUAGGAAAGCAGCUAACUUGAAAUGAAGGGAUUCAAGUAGGAAAGGAAGACUAUUUAACUAAUACCUCAACUUGUAUUCAUCGGCCGGACAAUUGUGUUAAUUAUUUGAGUUUUGUGACACAAUUGUGAAUAUAAUAUAAAUGAGAAAGUUGAGUAUAUUCUAAAAUGAAUUGAGGGGUCAAAAAUACUCGAAAUGGUGUUAUAAAAUAUGUCUGGGGUAUUGCGAGAAAUAUAAUUUCUCUUCUAAAGCUGCUAUAUAUCCCUAACAGGUGUAUAAUAUUGUUUGCUCUUAAAUUAACUCAUCGGUCGCACGAUCCAUUUACCUGUAUGAACUUGGAGAUAUUGAGAUUAAUAUAAUUGAUAUUAUAUUAGAAUCAGGUCUAGCCCAUCAUGUGCAAGUGGGAGAUGUUGGAAGAAAAUGGGUCACCCAUGUGGGUUGAUCCGACCCGAUUUGCAUGGAAAUAGAUUUUGGAGGGAGGAGAUGAAAAUUGAAUUUAAAAGUUAACCUCCCCACCUCCAAAAACUCCCAUCAACUUCCAUUAAUCUUUUUUUUUCCUGAAAGCAAAAACUAAGAAAAUUCGGGUUAAAGGGAGUGGAAGAAAAAUACAUGAGGAAAAAGAUUUGAUUUUUGGAAGAUAAUAUCUCAAUUGGGUUCUUGGAUUGUGACUGUCAAAUUCCUUCAUUUGUGAUCGAGUUUCUGACUAAAAAGAGGAGUACUUGGUGAGCAAGCAAGAGGCAAGAAGGCAAGUAAUUCAACCUCUCGUUUUCUUGGGAUUUCAAGUAAGUUUUAAUGUUCCAAACUCGGUUAUAUGUAUACAAGCAUGUUUUACAAUCUCCAUUAGAUUUACACCAUCUCCACUAGGUUUUUGCAUAGAUUAGUAAGUUGUGUAUUCGUAUUUGGGAUUGGUUGUGGUGGGUCAAAAUAUUGGCUAAGAUUGAUCCAGGUGGUGACUUUGCUGAGUAGAUGGAUACAUUUAGAUUUUUGAAUAUGCAUUUUUUUGGGGUUGAUUAGUGAAAAAUUGUGGUUCUUUAGAUUCAUAAGAACGGUAAAAAUUGAUGGAUUGCAUGCCCUCAAAAGAAUGGAUGGCGAUCUAUCAAGGUUAGUGGUUUUGAAGCAGUACCACCAUUUGCUGGUGAUAGCAUUGCAGGAUGCUGAUAUGAAAGAUGAAAUGCAAGAGAAGUUUUAGAGUGGAUGGAUGGUGCGAUGGUGGUCGUGAAUGGAAGAAUUUGGUGGGUGGUGGUUUCCAGUGGAUUAGUUUAAGAAGAUGGAAUUUUUUAUUUAACAUGUGAUUGUUACCUACUAAUUGCAUAAUGCGUGACUUAAUAUACAAUUGUGAUCUUGUAUGGUAUGUGACUUAUCAUGGCAGUGGUCAAUAAAUCGAGUGGUGUAUGAUCGUGACAUUUUUAAUUUUAAUUAUUUAUCACAACAUUUAUCAAAAUGUCAUAAAUGUGAUCAUAUGAUUUUUGACAGUUUUUUUUUUAAAUUUAUUAAUUAAAAUAUUAUUCUUAAAUAUUUAUAGUUAUGUACUUUUUCCAUUCGAAAAUUCAAGUUAAAUAUGGUAAUAACCUCUCUACUCGCAACACAUUUUGUUCUAUUAGAGCAUCUUUAAAAGACUUUUUAAAUAUGAGAUGCUCUCUAUUUUAAUGAGUCAACCCUUAAAAUCAAGCUGCAAGAGACUCCUUAAAUUAAUCAAACCCAUUCUCUAUAAUUAAAUGUAUUCAAACUGUUUCAAUUUUUAUUGUAGAAAGAUAAUAAAAUAAUAUUGAGAAAAGUUGGUUAAAAUAAAAGAUAGAGAAAAUUAAUAAAUAUUUUUUUAGAGUAAUAAAAUUAAAUAUUAAAUAUAAAAAUUUAUUUAUGCUAUUCAAAUAAUAGAAUAUGUUUUUGAAAAAUAGAGAGCUUAUUGGAGAUAUUAUUAACAUUCUCUGUGGCAUAGAUCCAUAUAGACCUAGCCUUUGUAGUUUUCCAAUAAAUAACUUUUUUGGGAUAGCAUUUCUAAACUUUUAUUUUUUUUUAAGGGUGCGGUUGAUUGUAAGGAUGGAAUUUGUAUUGAACGAAAAUAAAUUCUAAACAGUUCAAUUGUUUAUAACUUAUUUGCAUGAAAAUUCUCAAUUAAAUGUGUUUGAUUGAUUUAAUUUUCAACUUAAAAAAUAUUAUACUUGUUCAUUUUUUAUUGGUGAGUAGAUGAGAGGAGAGAGAGAGAGAGAGAGAGAGAGAGAUAGUGAAUUCCUUUGGAAAAUAAAAUUCUACUCCUUAUAAAGAAAAUAUUUUCCUUGAUUUUGACGAAAAUAUGCUCACAUGACAAAAGUAAUGUUUUUCAUGUAAAAAAUUCCAUCAAACAACACAAAGUAGGAAUUUGGAUGAAAAAUACACAUUUUUCAUAAAAAAAUAUUGACAAUCAACCGCCCUCUAAAAGUAGUUGAAGUACGCUACAUUGACUUAAUAAAAUAAAUGGAAAAUAAAUAUCUAGAGAGUUUUUUAUUAUAUAGUCCUUAGUUGGCGUAGCUUAAAAUUUUACCAAAACUCUAAGUCAAAAUUAACAAUUACUUUUAAUCAUAUAUAUAAUUUUUCAACUAUACAUUUCAUUAUUUUUUUUAUCAAAAUUUACUAGAAAAUAUAAUUUUUAACUUAUUGAAUAUGGGUAAGAUUAAAAAUUUAGGCUAAAUUUUGAAAUUAAUAUAUUUUAUCAAAUUUGAAUAUAAGCAAAAAAAAAAAUUGAAAACAUAAUUUAUCCAAAUGGAAAAAUUAAAUUAAAAUUUGGCGAAAUAUUUUUUAUGGUUGGUCGUAAAAAAAUUAAAUAUAAUUUAUCUAAAUAGAAAAAAUUCAAUUAAAAUUUAGCCAAAUAUUUUUACUGUUGUUCGUAGAAAAAAAAUUAAUUUUUUUUCACUCGAAAUUAUUUUCAACUGUACAUUUUAUAAAAUCUAUAACUUUUAUUCAAUUACCACUCACUUUCUAAUAAAAUUACUCUAUCCUUCCAAUUUAUAUUGGCUAGCUUUCCUUAUUUUCUUGUCCGAACCAUAUAGUUUCGUUUCCUUGUUGAGAAUUUUUGUUUUGCUUGCUUAUUAAUAUAAAUUAACUUCUUCUUUUUUUAUUUACUCUUGAAAUUGUACAAACAUAAUAAGAGUAAAUUAGGAAAGCUUUUGACAAAAAUUACGUUUUUAAUAAUAGUAGAUAAGAUUUCUUAAUUCUUGAGAAAAAUAAAACAAGCCUAUAUAUAAAUAGGAUGUUCGGAAAAAAUUUACCAAGAGAGGCUUUUAAGUGUUAAAAUUUUUCAGAAUCUUCUAUACCCACACGUAGCUUUACCUAGACAGUAAUGUUAUUCAUAGUCGCACUACAUCACAUCCUACAUAUUAAAAUAUUUACUAAUAGCUGGUAACAUACUCUAGUAUGGGUGUGUGUACUGGAAUGGUCUUGUUACUUGUUCACCACUCCAACACUUAUGGGACCAUAAUUUACUGUUGUAACUGUACUGAUUCUUCACAUGUACAUCACAUUUCUUUUACUUGUUCACCACUCCAGUACUUGUAUAAAUCUACAGCCAUUGUGCUUUGAAAAUACAAGAAAUCAAUCUCGUCUUCUUCACUUGCCUUCUUUGUUCUCUGUUUUUUAUUUAAUUUCAACUUGAUCAGCUCAACUAACUUCUAACACACUGAUGCCUCCAAUGUUGGGAGGAAAUCAGAUGCGAUCAUUUGGGAUAAGCUUGACUCAAGUUCUACCAGUGAAGCUUGACAGAAAUAAUUUUCUGUUGUGGAAGAACGUGGUGAUGCCAAUAAUCAAAGGACAUAAUCUGGAAGGUUUCAUCACAGGAACCAAAAGCUGUCCAGCAGAGUUCCUAGCAACACAAUCCACUGGCUCUACUGGAGUUACAGUUGAAAUGGCUCCUAAUGCUGAAUAUGGAGAGUGGAUGUCUACUGAUCAAGUAUUGAUGGGUUGGUUAUAUUCGUCAAGGACACCUGAAAUUGCAGUGAUAGUAAUGAGAUCAUCUAACUCCUGGAAUCUAUGGAAUGCUAUUCAAGAGAGCUUUGGAGCCAUGAACAAAUCAAGGGUCAUCUUCCUCAUCAUUGAACUUCAAAGGACUAGGAAGGGAACAAUGAGUGUUGAUCAAUAUCUUAACACAAUCAAGCAGCUAGCAGACAACCUUGAAAUUGCUGGUAAGAUCAUUCCUCAUGAUGAUCUUGUUACUCAAGUGCUAGUUGGAUUGGAUGAAGAAUAUACCCCUAUAGUAGUUUGAAUUAAUAGCAGAGAGUCCAUCUCCUGGCAUGAAUUGCAGUUUGUGCUCAUGACUUAUGAGAGCAGAAUUGAACACCUUAGUGCUCUGAAAAAUGGUCUGGCUUCAGUUAACUUACGAGAAGCCUCAGUAAAUUUCGUUCACAGUUCAAAUACUAAUAGAGGAAGAAGGUUUAACUAUGCUGGAAGAAGUAACAACUACAGGGGAGGCAGAAAUUGAGGUAGAGGAGGCAGGCGUUUUGCAAGUAAAGGGCCGUGCCAAAUCUGUGGGAUGAACAACCAUUCAGUAGCAAGAUGCUUUAACCGUUAUGAUGGGAGGUAUAUGGGUACUAAGCCUGAUCGCCACUAUCAAAAUAACUCCUCAGAACCAUCUGCUCUUAUAGCCUCUUCCAGGACUAUUGCGGAUCCAGCUUGGUUUGCAUAUUCAGCUGCCAACAAUUAUGUCACUUCUGACAAGGGCAAUGAUAAGUGUAUUUUUGUACACUUAUUUAGGUCACAAACAUGACUUAAUAAUGAGCAAAAUGAUUGAAUUGUGACUUAAUCUCGUUAUAUUUGUGAAUUGUAGAGAACACCGAUGAACAUGGUGAAAUUCAGAAGAAAAGAGGCGAAAAAAGACAAUGGAGCAAAGUGAUAAUUCGAGGACCAAGUUGCAAAUAAUUCAUAGAUGAGACGGGAAAUGGAAUGAAGAUUCAAGAGUGUUAGAGGUCAAUCGGAUGAGGAAAGGAGUCUAGAGGUGAAAUAUGGUCGAAAUAUUAUUAAGUAUCAACUUUUAGGCGAAAAAGUUAUGCUCGUGAUUUUUAGUCUCUAUUUGAGAUCCAUUUUGACAUAGUAAACAUCAGAAUUUGAGGAAGCCUAUUUCAAUCAAAAGUGUAUAUCUUUGAGUUUUCUUUCCAAUGCACUUUGAAUCACUUCAAUUGGAGAUCGGGAGAGAAAGUUAUGAUCAAAAUACUGAAAACUAUCUGACGAAAAAAUUUCUAUAACCAUGCGGCCGCAUGGUUAUAAUUCCUUGCGGUCGCACAAGGCAGUACAGGGAAAAAUCUGGGCUGAAACUUUUGAACCAUGGUGUAGCAUGGCUUUAUACCAUGCGGUCGCAUGGUAUAAAAAUGUGACGAAAUCUCAGGUUUCCUUAUUCAAUUCAAACACGAUUUAGUAAGGUUUUGGGUGACUUCUUUGACCUAAUUCCGCCUCCAAUAAAUACCAGACGACCCUGAAACAUAAAGAGGGGGGAAUAUACACAAUUUUGGAGGAUUUGAAGAGAAAGAACAAGGCAAAAACAAGACAAUCCACUUCAAGAUUUAAGAUUUCACUUCAAGAAUCAAUUGGGUGACGUUCUUCCUUAGUUUUAAUUAUUGUUUUUCUUUAUUUCCCAUUAUGCUAGGCUAGAUUUUCAAUUACUAGGUGAUCGAUGAACCAUUGUUUGUUAUUUUAAUUCCAUAUUCCAUGAAUUUAAUAUAAAGACUCGUUUGGAUAAUUUGAUUGGUUUACAUGCAUUAAUUUUCUUCCGCAAUUAGUGGCCAAUGAUUGUGUGAGUGUUGAUGACUUAUUUCUUACAUUCGAGAGAAGUGGAAUAGGUUCGAUAAGGUGUAAAUUAACAUAGGGUCCUAUAGGGGAUAGAGAUAUACCCCUAUGCUUUAUGAAAUUCUUUAAUUGUUCACAAAACCACAUGCAUUCUUGUAUAUUUGCAUCAUCCAUAGAGAUAUACGCCGGUGGUGUGCAAGAAUAGGUCUAAUAUAUAUCGAGAGAAAAUAUUGAUAGAAUUAGGAACAUCGAAUUGACAAAUUUCCAUCAGGUCAUUAAUUUUAUGAAAUUAGGGUUUUUAUAACUUCAAUUGGGGAUUCGUGAUCCUAGUGACUUUAGUUUGAUUAAUUUCCAUAAAUUAGCUUUUGAAUUUGCAUAAUUUCAUUUACUUGAGUAUUUGAGUCAUUUAAUUAGAGAAAUUUCGAAAUUAGGGUUUCUAAUUGAAAAAUUAGGGUUUAUGAUAGAAAUUAGGGUUUUUAGUUGAAAUUAGGGUUUCUUAAUUGAAAUUAGAGCUUUUUGCAUUUAGACCAUAUUUUCACUCAAUUAGAUUCGGUUAAGGUUAGAUUAUAUAGAACUGAACUAUUCAAUCUCUGAGGGACGAUAUUCGGACUUUUUAAAAUCCACUUCAUUACUUGUUACGAAUCGUACACUUGCGGUAGUUUUAAAUCGAAAGAAUUAUUUCGUGAACAGGCAAUCUAAUUGAGCCACAUGAGUAUGGUGGUAAGGGAAGUCUUCCUGUUGGUGAUGGUAACAAACUUCACAUCUCUCACAUUGGCACAAAUCACUUGAGCACACAGAACAACAAAUCCUUGGUUCUUAGUAAUGUUUUGUUAGUACCUUCUAUCAAGAAGAAUUUGUUAAGUGUCUCACAAUUAACAUCUGAUAAUGCUGUAUUUAUGGAAUUUCAUUCUAAUUUUUGUACUAUUAAGGACAAAGAGACAAAGGAGGUGCUGCUGGAAGGGAAGAUUAAGGAUGGGCUGUAUCAGAUUGAUCUCCUAGAUCAAGUUAAUAGGUUCCCUUGCCCAAAGUUAGUCCACUCAAAUAAGUUAAACUCUUCAGUUUUUGUUGUUCAGUCCAGAAAUGCCACAGAGUAUGAGUCUAAAUUGAAAUUGUGGCACAUGAGGUUUGGACAUCCUUCAGGUCCUGUGAUGUCUCAAGUACUUAAAUUUUGUAAUGAAAAACUUGAUGUCAAUGAAGUUAAAUCAUUUUUGUGAUGCCUGCCAACUUGGCAAAGCACAUUCCCUGCCUUUUAAACUAUCUACCUCACACGCAUCAGCCCCUCUUGCCUUGAUUCACACAGGUGUUUGGGGUCCAGCACCUUUACAGUCAACCUCUAGUUUAAGUAUUACAUUAUAUUCAUAGAUGACUACAGUACGUAUACAUGGAUAUACCUUAUGAGAAACAAAUCAGAAGCUUUGAACUCAUUUAUUCAAUUCAAAAAUCUUAUUGAGAACAAGUUUAAUAGAAAAAUUAAAGCACUUCAAUCAGAUUGGAGAGGUGAGUUCAGGGCAUUUACUGAAUUAACUUGACAAUCGGGGAUUGAUAUGCGACUUUCCUGUCCUCACACCCCAGCCCAAAAUGGUAGAGUUGAAAGAAAACAUCGACACAUUACAGAAAUUGGCCUAACUCUUCAUUGACACAGUUCGCACUAAAGGACAUGGGUGAACUGCACCAGUUUUUAGGAAUUGAAGUAAGGAGCUAUGAAUCAGGAAUGUGUCUCACUCAGGUUAAGUACAAAAAAGACUUGUUGAAAAAGUUUAAUUUUGAACACCUUAAACAUUGUGCGAUGCCCAUGACAGUUGGCAAGUGCAUCUCCAAGAAUGAAGGUGAAAAAUGGCAGACCCUUUCUUAUACAAAAGUGUAAUAGGUGGACUUCAGUACCUAGGACAUACGCGACCUGAUAUAAGUUUUGCAGUAAAUAAAUUGAGUCAAUUUCUACAAACUCCUUCAGAAACUCAUUGGAAGGCAGUAAAGAGGAUUUUUAGGUAUCUAAAGGUUACAAUUGAACAAGGUCUAUGGAUCCAAAAGAGUGACAUAAUGGACAUCGCAUGGUUUGCUGAUGCGGAUUGGGCGUCAUGUCCUGAUGACAGAAGUUCAACAUCCGACUACUGUGUCUAUUUAGGAGAUACCUUAGUGGCCUGGUCUUCAAAGAAACAAUUGGUGGUGGCGAGGUCAAGUGCUGAAAUCAGAGUACAGAGCACUAGCACAAUCCUCUGCUGAAAUAACUUGGGUAGAGUCGUUGCUUAAAGAAAUCAAGCUACAACCUGCUUCACCUCAUACCUAUGGUGUGAUAAUCUUAGUGCCAGUGCAUUAGCCUCUAAUCCAGUUUAUCAUGCUCGAACUAAACACAUCGACUUAGAUAUACAUUUGUUAGAGAUAAAGUUCUUGAAGGGAAGUUGAAGAUAAAAUACAUUCCAUCAUCAGACCAAACGGCAGAUCUGUUAACCAAACCACUUGCUCAUUCCAAAUUCUUGUUUCUCAAAGACAAGCUUGGAGUUAAUGAAUAAACUCCAGCUUGAUGGAAGAUGUUAAAAUGUUUACUAAUAGCUGGUGACAUACUCCAGUAUGGGCGUGUGUACUGAAAUGGUCCUUUUACUUGUUUACCACUCUAGCACUUAUGGAACCAUAAUUUACUGGUGUAACUGUACUGAUUCUUCACAUGUACAUCACAUUUCUUUUACUUGUUCACCACUCCAGUACUUGUAUAAAUCUACAGCCAUUGUGCUUUGAAAAUACAAGAAAUCGAUCUCGUCUUCUUCACUUGCCUUCUUUGUUCUCUGUUUUUUAUUUAAUUUCAACUCUAAAUGACGGUUUGUGAUUUGACGCAUUAAUGUGAUAGUUUUUUCUUACCUCAUAUAUCAAAUCACUAAAUGUAUGUGUAUACUAUGUAAGGCGACCACGAUAAUGAGUGACUGCAAAUAACAUUACUCUUACCUAUAUACGUGUUCUCUUCACCGCUCAAAUUACUCCAAUUAUCUCGAGUUAAGGUAUUAUCGAUGCUUAUGUGAACUUUUCUUUCUUUUUUUCCCCCCUGCAAAAUUCAAUAAUGGGCCAUGUUUAUUUUUCUGUUUUAAGUUUUUGGUGAAAAGUUUUUGUUUUUUUUUUGUUUUUCCCCUGAUGUGUCAGGAAAUCGUCUAAACUCUUGGUCUAUUUUGCGAGUUGAGAUCGGCCUAAAGGUCUUCAUUUUCUGAUUUACUGGUAAGGUUUUUUAAUAUUUUUCUCUCUUUUUUUGGAUUGAUUUUGAUUGUUCAUAUGCAUAAUAGAUUAGUAAAGCUUCAACUUUUCUCAGUCUGUAUAUUGACUUAUUUAUAAUAUCGAGUUUUUCCUACUCUGAACAAGAGCUAAUUCUACUCGUUAACAAUUAUGUGACUGUAUGAUUUGGGUUUUAGGAAUUCUUCAAAUUUUAUCUUCAAUAGAAGCAUUAAAUAGUGAUAUAUUUGGAGCAUCUUGACUGUUAAUUUGUUUGGCUUUGAUUAAAAGUUUCUUUUACUUGAAGAUAAGUAGGUUCUGUUAAUAUAAAAAGUAACUUUGAAAAAUUAAGAAAGUUAAAAGUAAGUUUAGUGUACUUUUAAGCACAACCAAACGUGUUUGUCUGGUUUCUGUGCAAGUCAAAUGAAAUGGAAAAAAUUCUUCUGUAUUUUACUUUGUAACACAGUAUUUAACGGAUUGUAUUUGUCAUCGUUUCAGUUCAUUAAUGAGAAUGAUCUUACUUAUACAGUCUCCAUUUACAUUGUUUUGCAGCAAAUUAAUCUGAUAAUAGCUAUUAGUCCCAUUAACAAGGAAUUUCUGACAGGUUUGGAAGUUUGUUAUCCACUUUAUAAAGUUGAAACGAGAUUGUGAUUCAUUAUCAAAUCAGUUAGGUAUUCCUGCUGCUACAUGAUUCAUAAUUCAUUAUUCGAAACACCUUUUGGGUGGAUAAAUGCUUGCUUACACAUUACCACUAAUUUGAUUAUUAGCUGGUUAAACAACUAUGGUGGGUUGAAUAUUACGAGUAGCGCCCCUUCCUGAACCUUAAUGUCUCUGUUAUGCAAUGUACUCGCUUUAUUCUUAGAUAUCUUUUCACAUAUACUUCUUGUUCUGUAUUCUGGCGAAUGACAGGAUUUUUACAUUAAUGGAGUCUUCCAAAGAGACUGGCUGCCAAGCUCCAGAAGGUCCCAUUCUUUGCAUAAACAACUGUGGCUUCUUUGGAACUGCAGCUACCAUGAAUAUGUGCUCCAAGUGCCACAAAGAGACGAUCUUGAAACAGCAACACACCAAACUCCUUCUACCGUUGAGAACUUUGUUAAUAGCGGUUCAAGCACAAAAGGGAAAGAGCCUGUUGUGACUGAGACUGAUGCAAUUGACGUGCAAGAUAGAACAGUGGAGUUGAAGGCCCCAUCUAAUUAGCACACGUCUUCUGAUUUAUUUUCAGGUCAGAGUUUAGAGGUAAGGACGAAAGGCGGCACUAAAAGGUGCAGCACUUGCCACAAAUGCAUGGGUUUAACGGGUUUUAGUUGUAGGUGUGACAAUCUCUUCUAUUCAGUUCAUCGUUACUCUGACAAACACGAUUGACGGUUUGAUUAUUGGAUGGCAGCUCAGGAUGUUACAGCCAAAGAAAACCCUACUGUUAAAGCCGAAAAGCUCGAUAAGAUCUAACAGGCAGAAUAAAAGUUAUGAACCCAAAUCUGAUGCUCUCUUUACGCAUCUGUACAUCUCUGUAUAAUUUGGCGACGUGUGCUGUUGAAUGGCGUAAGGCAAGAAGAUGGGGCAUCGUUGUGAUCUUCGAACUUUGGGUUACUUUUCGAUUGGCUAGAGUUAAGUUGGUUUUCUU
RNAcentral lists this long non-coding RNA (17336 nucleotides) under Olea europaea subsp. europaea. The record is from RNAcentral. Lineage: Eukaryota; Viridiplantae; Streptophyta; Magnoliopsida; Lamiales; Oleaceae.